Molecule: long non-coding RNA, 965 nt
Filed under: Setaria viridis
Lineage: Eukaryota; Viridiplantae; Streptophyta; Magnoliopsida; Poales; Poaceae
Description: long non-coding RNA (SVIR_LNC006399)
Source: RNAcentral
CAAUAGCCGAUGAGCGCAACAGGGAAGUAGCAGAGUGCCACCACAAUAUAGGCGACGAUAACUCCCUUCCACAUAGGUUUCUUGGAUGGCUGCUCUGGUGUCGAUGGGAUGGUGGCCUGGAUCUCUAGAACAACAUUGUGCCCAGCGUAUGCGAAUGCCACGUCGCCCAAUGCGCCGAAGAAGCCAAACACCUUCCCCGGCGUCGUUGUUGCGCGCACGUGGUAGUCCACGUCUGGAAGCUUGCCCUUGUCCACCGAUGCACCCCAAGCGAUUGUGGAGUAACUGCCAUGAGUGACCAUGUCAGUGAUCAAUCGGGUUAUACAUGGGUUUUCAGAAAGUUACUGAAUUUUCUACAGUGCAGUGGAGUUCCUGAGGCAACGACAGAGUGAAGUGGUACCUGAGCGACAUGACGGCAGCGGCAAGGGAGACACCAGAGAUGGAAUUAAAGUUGGGGAGCUGGGAGAGCACAAAGUGGACAGAGGCAAAGAUCAUGAUGAAGUAGGUGGUCUUGAUGUCUUUGCAUUUGCCGUCGCAGAUCACAUCGUGGAAUUUCUUCAGUGAUUUGCCUCCGGUGACCAUGUACACAAUGUUGACGCCCACCUCAACGAUGAGCUGCUGCGGCACAACAAUCCACAGCCCCAGCUUCUCGCCGAAUGCAUGCUGACCAAGCUCAUGGUACCGGUCGAACCGCUUGCCCGGCACCAUCUCAUGCAUCUCCACCAUUUGCCAAAGCGUGUACAGAGUAAUGACCCAUGAUAUGAUCAGCACUGCAAUGCCAGGGCCCCUGCAAAUUGUCAAGUUGAUACAUUAAGAGGAGAAGUCUUUUUGAUUAAAUCAAGAAGAUUACUGAAUUCAUCAGCAAAUAACUGAUUGUGACUGCAAUGGCAGCAAGAUGGCACACACGUAUGACGUACCAGCCAAGCUCAGACAUGGCAUACGGAAGGCUGAGCACGCCAGCGCCAACC